AAGAGGCGAGAUUGGAAGUGGCAACUGCUGAGGAACAAAGGAAUGAUUAAUUGGGUAAAUUCAUGGAAUAUGUUUCCCAUGGAUCCGCCGGAUGAGAAAACUAUGGUGGGGACAUUAUGAGUGUACUCACAAGGUGGAGGAGGGGUGGAGAUGUUUCCCCAAAGUAUCUACACUGACGAAAUGGCCGUUCCUGUGAUCCACUUAUCUUCCUUCUUCGUGUAUGGAAUGAUUAUGCGAUCGUCUUCAGGCAUACCUUGAUCGAAUGGUACAUAAACCUUCAUUGUAAGUGUAUCGAUCCUUACUGGUCCACUUAUCUUCCUUCUUCAUGUAUGGAAUGAUUAUGCGAUCGUCUUCAGGCAUACCUUGAUCAAAUGAUACAUAAACCUUCAUUGUAAGUGUAUCGAUCCUUUACUGGUCUAUUGGACACACAAACUUCGGUGUGAUAGUCAUAAUGGCAAGCUGAUCCAGUUGCUUCCACAAAUUGAGAGAAGGGAGAAUGACCAAGGAUCAUGUCAUUAGAGAUUUUCCCCCUGCUUGUAAGUAAGAUUUAUAGACUUCUGCUGAUGUUGAAUACUGAAAAUGCAGAAGUCGAAGAAGAAGAAGGAGAAACCUUUCUGUAGUCUUUUCAUGAGAAAAUGCAUGCGAUGUUGUUCUUCUAUGCGACUCCCGCCCGAAUGCGUUUUCUUCCCUGACAUUUCCAAGCAAUGAUAUUGACCAAGUCAAUGAGCAAGGAGAGGAGAAGCAAGCAGGAAAAUGGAGUUGCGGUUAAAACCAGGCUUCUUGGCACCUUCUCCAUCUUCCAACAAUCUGAAAGCCUUCCCAAGGUUUUUGCAUUAACCUACACAAGCAUGAACAACCAUGAAUCUGUACAGUUGCAAAAGAAGCAGCAACACCAGAUUCUGCUGCGAAGUUGCCAUUGACUGCAGAAAAUGUCGAGGGUGCACUGGAUGAAAUCGACUCUAUCUCGUUGCGAACGGUGGUAAAGAGAAGGUGGUAAAGUGGCACUACACGAAAUUGAGGGAAAUGUUGUGAGGUUCAACCUACGAGGAGCAUGCGGCUCCUUUCCAAGUUCUGUGACGACUAUGAAGAUGGGUAUCGAGAUUUGAGCGUCGUUUAAUGGGAAAAAAAUCCCUGAAAUAGUUGCUUUGGAACCAAUAGCAUGAGGAAACUGCCUUGAACUGAAUGAAGAAAGCCUAGAGAAGGUAAUAGUACAUCUGCAUUUGUCGUCGUCUAAUAAUUACUAAUGCAUCUGCAUUCGUUUCAUAUAAAAUGAUAUGGCUCGUGUUGACUGCUGAGUCUGCCCUUUAGUUAGAAACGUGAACGAACAUUGCAUAACUGGGAGAAAUGGUGAGUGUAGACAUGACACUCGGAAUAGAUAUUCAUUCCUAGCUAUUCCUUAAUCCUAGCUAGCAGCAAAAGCUUAGUCUGAUUCAAAGUUUAAUCUGGUCAGACGAAUGGAGCCUCAUUGUUAAUCUGGUGGGAUUACUCUUCUAGUCCAUAUAAUCCUCCCCAUGGUACUGCAUCUCCCAUAGAGCAUAUGCACUUCCACAAAUUUGAGGAGCUUAUGGACUUCAUUUUUGGAUGGAUUAAUUAUUUGCAUGGAGUUGCAUCUAUCCGUUGAGGCUUGUUAUGAAUGGGAUCUAUCCCCAUUAGUUGCUGAAGCAUAUGCAGCUAGGGAGGGACUUAUUUUGGCAUCUAUGCUUGGGAUUAUGAGAGCUCAAUUUGAAGGCGACUCUUUGAACCUUAUUCGGAUGAUCAAGGGGGAAUUGGCUAUUCAUAGAGAUAUUGAAGUUAUUGUGGAGGAUAUUAGGAGAUUGGCAUGUGACUUUCGGGUGUGUGAGUUUAGUUUUGUUAAACAUAGUGGAAAAUGGUGUGACUCACUGUCUAGCUAGUAGGGGUUAUGGUUGUGUAGAUGUCUCUACAUGGGAGGCCUAUCCACUAGAUUGGCUAUAUCUACGCCUUUGUCUAAGGAUGGAUAUGCUCUUUGAUGGUUUUUCAUCGUACCGUUUAUCUAUGAAUCAGUUAUCCUAUUGGCCAAAAAAAGAAAGCGAAUACCAAC
Long non-coding RNA from Rhododendron vialii, 2059 nucleotides. RefSeq lists it as uncharacterized. The transcript has 4 exons. Lineage: Eukaryota; Viridiplantae; Streptophyta; Magnoliopsida; Ericales; Ericaceae. The record is from RefSeq and is a predicted model, not a curated record.